This 206-nucleotide ribosomal RNA is filed under the name uncultured bacterium. Its description in RNAcentral is "partial 16S ribosomal RNA". It matches the Rfam family "Bacterial small subunit ribosomal RNA", at positions 1290 to 1500 of the family's 1533-position model. The record is from RNAcentral.
AGUUCGGAUUGGAGUCUGNAACCCGACUCCAUGAAGCUGGAUUCGCUAGUAAUCGCGCAUCAGCCACGGCGCGGUGGAAUAACGUUCCCGGGCCCUUGUACACACCGCCCGUCAAGCCAUGGAAGCCGGGAGUGCCUGAAGUGCGUGAGCGCAAGCAGCGCCCUAAGGUAAAACCGGUGACUGGGGCUAAGUCGUAACAAGGUAGC